AUCGAUGAAGAACGCAGCGAAAUGCGAUAAGUAAUGUGAAUUGCAGAAUUCAGUGAAUCAUCGAAUCUUUGAACGCACCUUGCGCCCUCUGGUAUUCCGGAGGGCAUGCCUGUUUGAGUGUCAUGUAGACUCAAUCCCUCGGGUUUCCGAGGAGAUUGGACUUGGGUGUUGCCGCUCUGCCGGCUCGCCUUAAAAGACUUAGCGGGAUAGCACCGUAGUCGGCGUAAUAAGUUUCGUCGGUGAAGGUUGUGAUAACUGCUUACAAUCGCCCUUGGGCAAUUUUUGACUCUGACCUCAAAUCAGGUAGGACUACCCGCUGAACUUAAGCAUAUCAAUAAGCGGAGGAAAAGAAACUAACAAGGAUUCCCUUAGUAGCGGCGAGCGAAGCGGGAAGAGCUCAAAUUUGAAAGCUGGCGUCCUUCGGGCGUCCGCAUUGUAAUCUAUAGAGGCGUUUUCUGUGCUGGACCGUGUCCAAGUCCCUUGGAACAGGGUAUCAAAGAGGGUGACAAUCCCGUACUUGACACGACAACCAGUGCUCUGUGAUACGUCUUCUACGAGUCGAGUUGUUUGGGAAUGCAGCUCAAAAUGGGUGGUGAAUUCCAUCUAAAGCUAAAUAUUGGCGAGAGACCGAUAGCGAACAAGUACCGUGAGGGAAAGAUGAAAAGCACUUUGGAAAGAGAGUUAAACAGUAUGUGAAAUUGUUGAAAGGGAAACGAUGGAGGUCAGUCGUGUCUGUGGGAUUCAGCCGUCUCUGGCGGUGUACUUCCCACAGACGGGUCAACAUCAGUUUUGGUCGGCGGAUAAAGGCAGGAGGAAGGUGGCACCCCCGGGUGUGUUAUAGCCUCUUGUUGCAUACGCUGGCCGAGACUGAGGAAUGCAGCUCGCCUUUAUGGCCGGGGUUCGCCCACGUUCGAGCUUAGGAUGUUGACAUAAUGGCCUUCAACGACCCGUCUUGAAACACGG
Molecule: ribosomal RNA, 963 nt
Filed under: uncultured Basidiomycota
Lineage: Eukaryota; Fungi; Basidiomycota
Description: eukaryotic LSU rRNA
Rfam family: Eukaryotic large subunit ribosomal RNA (bases 290-963)
Source: RNAcentral